Candoia aspera is the source of this 1083-nucleotide long non-coding RNA. RefSeq lists it as uncharacterized. Lineage: Eukaryota; Metazoa; Chordata; Lepidosauria; Squamata; Candoiidae. The record is from RefSeq and is a predicted model, not a curated record. The transcript has 3 exons.
GUUAUUGUGAUAACGCGAGGGCGGGACCAGCUCGGGGUAUUUCGCUGCGCGAGCGAGGAAAUGAAGGAAGGAGGAAACACGGAGGGAACAAACGGGGAGGAGUGAAAUAAACAGAUGGUCAUACACUGUGGAAUCAGGAUAACAUUUGGUAUGAAGAAUGGGUGGCUUUGGGACCAGUUCAGAUAUGUUGGACUUCAGCUGCCAUAAUUCCUAAUCUACAUGCUGUGCUGUCUAGAAGCUAUUUUGGUAUCAACACAUUUGGAACCCAUCGCUCGGGGAAAACUGCUUUGGGGGCUGCUAACGUGGGCUUUCCUUUCUGCUUCCAAUCUCAUUAAUCUCAGUCAUGAUGUUAAGUUGAAGAAAUUCCUUGAGAUAUCUGUGGGCAGGUGAUUGUAGGACUUGACUUGGACAACCUCACUUCAAAUAUUUCCAUUUUCCAUUAGCCUUCUUGCCCUUUAACUGCCAUUUUGUGGAGAAGAUACAGAGCACAUUUUUGCAGCAGUCAUAUAAGCACCCUUGUAAAUGGUCUAUUAAUCAGUUUAAAUGCAUACCUAUGAACAACCAUAGGUUGCACUCCCUUUCUGAUACUGGCUCAUACUGGCUAUGGUUGCUAGGCAACCAACAUGCAUUUUCCAUCCCUUGGAGCUGGUAAAAUAGCCACCUAGCAUGGCUGCUCUUUACAACAGAAUGUCACAAAAGGAGGGAGCACUACUAAGGAAGUUAAGUAAUCCAGGUUAUGAGUUGGGAGCCUGUUCCUGUUGACAGAAACCCACUUAUGAUGUCAAUGGUGUCAUCUAACUAGCAUUCAGAAAGUGAUGCUGAAACAUUAAAAUGUCAGAAACCUGAAGCAGCUCUUCUACAUCAAGGUAACGCAGGAGGCAAAUGCAAAGCAUCAAUGGUUGCAGGAAAGAAACUCAACUAACGUUUCACAAUCUGGACUUUUUCAGAUGCUUUGACUGGAGUAAGAACAAGAUCUAUAGCCUGACACGUUUAGAGAGUGCCAAAUAUGACUGAAGUAACUUGAGGAAAUGGCUGGAAAUACAGUAAACUGGAAGUCAGGGGAGCCAUGAAGACUCUGAUGAU